UACAGAGGGUGCGAGCGUUAAUCGGAAUUACUGGGCGUAAAGCGCGCGUAGGCGGCUUUGUAAGUCGGUUGUGAAAUCCCCGGGCUCAACCUGGGAACUGCAUCCGAGACUGCAUGGCUAGAGUAUGGGAGAGGGAAGUGGAAUUUCAGGUGUAGCGGUGAAAUGCGUAGAUAUCUGAAGGAACAUCAGUGGCGAAAGCGACUUCCUGGACCAAUACUGACGCUCAUGUGCGAAAGCGUGGGGAGCAAACAGG
RNAcentral lists this ribosomal RNA (253 nucleotides) under Peristeroidobacter agariperforans. RNAcentral describes it as "partial 16S ribosomal RNA". It matches the Rfam family "Bacterial small subunit ribosomal RNA", at positions 524 to 776 of the family's 1533-position model. Lineage: Bacteria; Pseudomonadati; Pseudomonadota; Gammaproteobacteria; Steroidobacterales; Steroidobacteraceae. RNAcentral also lists the same sequence under 1 other name. The record is from RNAcentral.